RNAcentral lists this ribosomal RNA (465 nucleotides) under uncultured Klebsiella sp. RNAcentral describes it as "bacterial SSU rRNA". It matches the Rfam family "Bacterial small subunit ribosomal RNA", at positions 338 to 795 of the family's 1533-position model. Lineage: Bacteria; Pseudomonadati; Pseudomonadota; Gammaproteobacteria; Enterobacterales; Enterobacteriaceae. The record is from RNAcentral.
CCUACGGGCGGCUGCAGUGGGGAAUAUUGCACAAUGGGCGCAAGCCUGAUGCAGCCAUGCCGCGUGUGUGAAGAAGGCCUUCGGGUUGUAAAGCACUUUCAGCGGGGAGGAAGGCGGUGAGGUUAAUAACCUCAUCGAUUGACGUUACCCGCAGAAGAAGCACCGGCUAACUCCGUGCCAGCAGCCGCGGUAAUACGGAGGGUGCGAGCGUUAAUCGGAAUUACUGGGCGUAAAGCGCACGCAGGCGGUCUGUCAAGUCGGAUGUGAAAUCCCCGGGCUCAACCUGGGAACUGCAUUCGAAACUGGCAGGCUAGAGUCUUGUAGAGGGGGGUAGAAUUCCAGGUGUAGCGGUGAAAUGCGUAGAGAUCUGGAGGAAUACCGGUGGCGAAGGCGGCCCCCUGGACAAAGACUGACGCUCAGGUGCGAAAGCGUGGGGAGCAAACAGGAUUAGAUACCCCAGUAGUC